GGGCCCGCACAAGCGGUGGAGCAUGUGGUUUAAUUCGAUGCAACGCGAAGAACCUUACCAAGGCUUGACAUACUACAGAUUUCUUUGAAAAAAGGAAAGUGCCUUCGGGAAUGUAGAUACAGGUGGUGCAUGCUGUCGUCAGCUCGUGUCGUGAGAUGUUGGGUUAAGUCCCGCAACGAGCGCAACCCUUAUUUUUAGUUGCUAAUUUAGUUUAGGUUUUCUAGAAAGACUGCCGGUGACAAACCGGAGGAAGGUGAGGAUGACGUCAAGUCAGCAUGCCCCUUAUGCCUUGGCUACACACGUGCUACAAUGGUUAAGACAAAGAGUUGCGAGCUCGUGAGAGUCAGCUAA
RNAcentral lists this ribosomal RNA (351 nucleotides) under uncultured bacterium. Its description in RNAcentral is "bacterial SSU rRNA". It matches the Rfam family "Bacterial small subunit ribosomal RNA", at positions 917 to 1271 of the family's 1533-position model. The record is from RNAcentral.